Molecule: transfer RNA, 83 nt
Organism: Pseudocercospora fijiensis CIRAD86
Lineage: Eukaryota; Fungi; Ascomycota; Dothideomycetes; Mycosphaerellales; Mycosphaerellaceae
Rfam family: tRNA
About the family: Transfer RNA (tRNA) molecules are approximately 80 nucleotides in length. Their secondary structure includes four short double-helical elements and three loops (D, anti-codon, and T loops).
Source: Rfam
GGUCGGCUAGCUCAAUGGUAGAGUGCUUGACUACGAAUUGUUGUGUUAUCAAGAGGUUGCAGGUUCGAGCCCUGCGUCGAUCA